Molecule: long non-coding RNA, 1029 nt
Filed under: Anas platyrhynchos platyrhynchos (common mallard)
Lineage: Eukaryota; Metazoa; Chordata; Aves; Anseriformes; Anatidae
Description: lncRNA (ENSAPLG00000018991.1)
Source: RNAcentral
UCAACUUUCACAAAUCUCUCAGAAAAACCUCAAGUCUCAUUUUAUAACACAAUUCAAUAAUAAAACUUUUUAAGUUUUCAAAUGUAUUCUGAUAUACUAUUUGGUUCAUAACUUACGGAUGAAAAAAGUGAGAAAGUCAGCCUUUUGCAAAUUCUGGGAGAACAGAACCUGAUGGAAAAUAGAACAGAAUUUAAUGCAGAUACAAACAAAAAGAAAAAUCUUUCCAGUUGAGAUUGACUUAAUCAAGAUCAAUCCUGUUUUCAGGUACUCAUUACUACACAGAUCUGCCUUCUAAUAUUUUUUUUCUCCUUUCUUUUUUUUUUUUUUUUAAUACUUAAUAUUAAUAAAUAAAUAAAUAAAUAAAAUAAAAAAGAACAUCAGCAUCUACUUUGAAUACAUUGGAAACAAUCCAUAAAUCUCAUUAUAAGCACUUCAUGUGUACUUUUGUGUGCUCUUAUAAUACAAUUGGUGGUUAUUUCUUCAUGAGAGUUCCUACUUGCUCUUCUUUCCCAAUUCUUUUUUUUUUUUUUUUUUUUUUUCUCCAUGAAACAGACAACAAACCAUUUCUUUUGUGGAAAUACUUAUUUCUUUCUGGAUUUUUGAUUGUUUCCACUAUAGACACAGAAUUUUACUUAACCCAGAAAUAUGCAUUUAUCCUACUGAAGGUUACAGUCAGCAUAGUGCCAAGUUUCUGGGUGUCUGAGAGGAAUUGUGUGAUGUCAAGUGCUGGAGAAGUUUAGAGCAGCCAUGGUAGAGCUGAACCAGUAAGCAGGACCAGACUGCAGUCUCUGUUUACAUGAUCCCCAAGACCACUGCUCCGUCAUUGCUGAACCUCAGAAGAUCCAUGUUAUUGCCAUCCCAACAGGGUUUUUUAUUCCUUUUCAUAGAAGGGAAUUGACUGUAACUCCAUCUAAAGUUAAGCUGCUUCAGGAAGAAGUACCAAAAGCAAACAAACAACACAGGGCAGGACUUUGCACUGGAAGCAGAGGCAGGCUGUAGAAUGGCUUCACAGAAAGCAGAUAUUGAAGG